This is a long non-coding RNA of Anas platyrhynchos (mallard), 494 nucleotides long. RefSeq lists it as uncharacterized. NCBI's taxonomy places the organism in Eukaryota, Metazoa, Chordata, Aves, Anseriformes, Anatidae. The record is from RefSeq and is a predicted model, not a curated record.
CUGCUAACAGAUCUACCACUACACCCACUAAUAAUUAAAGUUACCUGGGUAUCCAUCUUGAAUGCUGUUAAAUUCAGCUGUUAACAAUUAUUCCAGCUAAACCAUUCAAAAGGUGCUUUGAACUUGUUUAAGGUCCUUCGUAACACUGUGCAGCUGGGUAAGAGGCUACGUUCUCACCUGAACAGAAUACCAUUAAUAAUUUAUGCUGGGAGUCAGGGACUUUGUCCUAGGGUACUUGCAUAGGCAUAGUGGCCACUUUUCCAAGAUAAGAACUUGAAACUGUAUAUUCCUUGAGGUUACAUUGCAGACACCGGAUCCUGAUGUGUUGCAACCAGAUCUAGUGACAGGCAGUCCUACCUCUGCUGGCAUCCUUGUAGCACUGUCCUCAUACUCAGUCCCACAUACAUGAGCUGAUGAAAAAUCAGACCUCGAGCUUCAAACAAUUUCUACAGCAUAAAUAAAAAGACAGAGAGAACAAUUAUUAGUUUUUCAGG